Molecule: ribosomal RNA, 501 nt
Filed under: uncultured Glomus
Lineage: Eukaryota; Fungi; Glomeromycota; Glomeromycetes; Glomerales; Glomeraceae
Description: SSU rRNA
Rfam family: Eukaryotic small subunit ribosomal RNA
Source: RNAcentral
AGCAGCCGCGGUAAUUCCAGCUCCAAUAGCGUAUAUUAAAGUUGUUGCAGUUAAAAAGCUCGUAGUUGAAUUUCGGGGUCAGUAGGUCGGUCGUGCCACUGGUAUGAACUGGUUUUACUGAUUCCUCCCUCUUGAAGAACUGUAAUGCCAUUAAUUUGGUGUUGCAGGGAAUCAGGACUGUUACUUUGAAAAAAUUAGAGUGUUUAAAGCAGGCUUUAGCUUGAAUACAUUAGCAUGGAAUAAUGAAAUAGGACGUUUGAUCCUAUUUUGUUGGUUUCUAGGAUUGACGUAAUGAUUAAUAGGGAUAGUUGGGGGCAUUAGUAUUCAAUUGUCAGAGGUGAAAUUCUUGGAUUUAUUGAAGACUAACUACUGCGAAAGCAUUUGCCAAGGAUGUUUUCAUUAAUCAAGAACGAAAGUUAGGGGAUCGAAGACGAUCAGAUACCGUCGUAGUCUUAACCAUAAACUAUGCCGACUAGGGAUCGGAUGAUGUUAAUUUUUUAA